GCGGGUAUAGCUCAACGGUAGAGUGAGAGCCUUCCAAGCUCAGGACGAGGGGUUCGAUUCCCCCUACCCGCUCCA
RNAcentral lists this transfer RNA (75 nucleotides) under Burkholderia cenocepacia. Its description in RNAcentral is "tRNA-Gly". It matches the Rfam family "tRNA". Rfam says of the family: Transfer RNA (tRNA) molecules are approximately 80 nucleotides in length. Their secondary structure includes four short double-helical elements and three loops (D, anti-codon, and T loops). Lineage: Bacteria; Pseudomonadati; Pseudomonadota; Betaproteobacteria; Burkholderiales; Burkholderiaceae. The record is from RNAcentral.